Molecule: long non-coding RNA, 417 nt
Organism: Priapulus caudatus
Lineage: Eukaryota; Metazoa; Priapulida; Priapulimorpha; Priapulimorphida; Priapulidae
Exons: 3
Source: RefSeq, a predicted model, not a curated record
CUCACGCAACACCGCAUUCGGGGAGCCGCUGGAGGAGUCUAGGAAGCUGGCGCUGCAGGAGGAGACAGCGGAGAUCUUCGGCGGCUAAGUGGAGCUGACGAUAUCAACGACGAGGAAGACAUCAGGCGACUAACAAGUUCGUCAAGUUCGCGACCACAUACUUCCAAGGCAACGCGUCGCACUCGUACGUGAAGCGUCUGCUGAAGGCGCCGCUGCUGCCGCUGCGUAACGACGGCGACAUCGCCGCGUCGCUCGUCAUCUGGAAGAUGAUCAUGCGCUUCAUGGGCGACCUCCCCGAGCCGAAGCGUGCGAGCUCGCUGGGCAGCGCCGACAACACGCCCGUCAUGACGAAGAUCUACUCGACGCUGACGCGCGGGAACCGUCGCGAGUUUCAGAACGCCAUCGACGAGUACGAAG